AUACGGAGGACGCGAGCGUUAUCCGGAUUCAUUGGGUUUAAAGGGUGCGCAGGCGGCCGUGCAAGUCAGCGGUGAAAGCCCGGGGCUCAACCCCGGAAGUGCCGUUGAUACUGCAUGGCUGGAAUGCGGUCGAGGCGGGCGGGACGGGGCGUGUAGGGGGGAAAUGCGUAGAUAUGCCACAGAACGCCGAUAGCGGAGGCAGCUCGCCAGGCCUGCAUUGACGCUCGGGCACGAAAGCGUGGGGAUCGAACAGGAUUAGAUACCCUGGUAGUCCACGCCGUAAACGAUGGGCGCUCGUCGUCGGCGGCAGACAGUCGGCGGCCAAGCGAAAGCGAUAAGCGCCCCACCUAGGGAGUACGGUCGCAAGGCUGAAACUCAAAUGAAUUGACGGGG
Molecule: ribosomal RNA, 393 nt
Filed under: uncultured bacterium
Lineage: Bacteria
Description: partial 16S ribosomal RNA
Rfam family: Bacterial small subunit ribosomal RNA
Source: RNAcentral